This 592-nucleotide ribosomal RNA is filed under the name Trichoderma spirale. RNAcentral describes it as "eukaryotic LSU rRNA". The stretch from base 230 to 383 matches the Rfam family "5.8S ribosomal RNA". The record is from RNAcentral. Lineage: Eukaryota; Fungi; Ascomycota; Sordariomycetes; Hypocreales; Hypocreaceae.
UCUCCGUUGGUGAACCAGCGGAGGGAUCAUUACCGAGUUUACAACUCCCAAACCCAAUGUGAACGUUACCAAACUGUUGCCUCGGCGGGAUCUCUGCCCCGGGUGCGUCGCAGCCCCGGACCAAGGCGCCCGCCGGAGGACCAACCAAAACUCUUUUGUAUACCCCCUCGCGGGUUUUUAUAUCUGAGCCAUCUCGGCGCCUCUCGUAGGCGUUUCGAAAAUGAAUCAAAACUUUCAACAACGGAUCUCUUGGUUCUGGCAUCGAUGAAGAACGCAGCGAAAUGCGAUAAGUAAUGUGAAUUGCAGAAUUCAGUGAAUCAUCGAAUCUUUGAACGCACAUUGCGCCCGCCAGUAUUCUGGCGGGCAUGCCUGUCCGAGCGUCAUUUCAACCCUCGAACCCCUCCGGGGGGUCGGCGUUGGGGAUCGGCCCUUUACGGGGCCGGCCCCGAAAUACAGUGGCGGUCUCGCCGCAGCCUCUCCUGCGCAGUAGUUUGCACACUCGCAUCGGGAGCGCGGCGCGUCCAUUGCCGUUAAACACCCAACUUUCUGAAAUGUUGACCUCGGAUCAGGUAGGAAUACCCGCUGAACUUAA